RNAcentral lists this ribosomal RNA (799 nucleotides) under uncultured bacterium. RNAcentral describes it as "bacterial SSU rRNA". It matches the Rfam family "Bacterial small subunit ribosomal RNA", at positions 8 to 796 of the family's 1533-position model. The record is from RNAcentral.
AGAGUUUGAUCCUGGCUCAGGACGAACGCUGGCGGCGUGCUCAACACAUGCAAGUCGAGCGGUAAGGCCCUUUCGGGGGUACACGAGCGGCGAACGGGUGAGUAACACGUGGGUGACCUGCCCUCAGCUCUGGGAUAAGCCUGGGAAACUGGGUCUAAUACCGGAUAUUCUCCAGUCCUCGCAUGGGGGUUAGGUGGAAAGUUUUUAUCGGCUGGGGAUGGGCCCGCGGCCUAUCAGCUUGUUGGUGGGGUGAUGGCCUACCAAGGCGACGACGGGUAGCCGGCCUGAGAGGGCGACCGGCCACACUGGGACUGAGACACGGCCCAGGACUCCUACAGGAGGCAGCAGUGGGGAAUAUUGCGCAAUGGGCGGAAGCCUGACGCAGCGACGCCGCGUGGGGGAUGACAUGCCUUCGGGUUGUAAACCUCUUUCGACCUUGACGAAGGCCUUCGGGUUUGACGGUAGGGGUAGAAGAAGGACCGGCCAACUACGUGCCAGCAGCCGCGGUAAUACGUAGGGUGCGAGCGUAUGUGCGGAAUGAUCGGGCGUAAAGAGCUCGUACGGCGGUCUGUCGCGUCUGUCAUGAAAGCUGAGUGCUUAGCACUGAGCUUGCUGUCGAUACGGGCAUGACUAGAGUACGGCAGGUGAGACUGUAAUACCUGGCUGUAGCGGCUGAANUGCGUAGAUAUCAAGGAGGCAACACCCGGUGACGAUAGGCCUGGUCUCUGCGGCCGANACUGACGUCUGAGGAGCGAAAAGCAUUGGGGAGCGAACGCGAAUUUAAUACCCAUGUUAUUCA